AUUGAACGCUGGCGGCAGGCCUAACACAUGCAAGUCGAGCGAGCGGCGGAUGGGUGCGUAAUGUAUGUGUACUGCCCGAUAGAGGGGGAUAACCACUGGAUACGGUAGCUAAUAACGCAUACUAUCGGAUAACCCAGAUGUGAGUAGCUAGUAGGUGAGGUAAUGGCUCACGAAGGCGACGAUCCCUAGUUGGUCUGAGAGGAUGAUCAGCCACACUGGGACUGAGACACGGCCCAGACUCCUACGGAGGCAGCAGUGGGGAAUAUUGCACAAUGGGCGCAAGCCUGAUGCAGCCAUGCGGCGUGUAUGAAGAAGGGCCUAGGAUUGUAAAGUACUUUCAGUCGGGAGGCGUUACCGACAGAAGAAGCACCGGCUAACUCCGUGCCAGCAGCCGCGGUAAUAC
This 403-nucleotide ribosomal RNA is filed under the name uncultured bacterium. RNAcentral describes it as "partial 16S ribosomal RNA". It matches the Rfam family "Bacterial small subunit ribosomal RNA", at positions 30 to 526 of the family's 1533-position model. The record is from RNAcentral.